UUUCCGUAGGUGAACCUGCGGAAGGAUCAUUACAGAGUUCAUGCCCUCACGGGUAGAUCUCCCACCCUCGAAUAUUUAUACCUUAGUUGCUUUGGCAGGCCGUGGAAACACCAUGGGCUCCGGCUUAUGCGUGCCUGCCAGAGGAAACAAUCUCUGUUUUUAGUGAUGUCUGAGUACUAUAUAAUAGUUAAAACUUUCAACAACGGAUCUCUUGGUUCUG
Molecule: unclassified non-coding RNA, 220 nt
Filed under: plant metagenome
Description: partial contains small subunit ribosomal RNA, internal transcribed spacer 1, and 5.8S ribosomal RNA
Source: RNAcentral